RNAcentral lists this ribosomal RNA (465 nucleotides) under Vreelandella stevensii. RNAcentral describes it as "partial 16S ribosomal RNA". It matches the Rfam family "Bacterial small subunit ribosomal RNA", at positions 338 to 795 of the family's 1533-position model. Lineage: Bacteria; Pseudomonadati; Pseudomonadota; Gammaproteobacteria; Oceanospirillales; Halomonadaceae. The record is from RNAcentral.
CCUACGGGCGGCUGCAGUGGGGAAUAUUGGACAAUGGGCGAAAGCCUGAUCCAGCCAUGCCGCGUGUGUGAAGAAGGCCUUCGGGUUGUAAAGCACUUUCAGUGGGGAAGAAAGCCUUGGGGCUAAUACCCUCGAGGAAGGACAUCACCCACAGAAGAACCACCGGCUAACUCCGUGCCAGCAGCCGCGGUAAUACGGAGGGUGCGAGCGUUAAUCGGAAUUACUGGGCGUAAAGCGCGCGUAGGCGGUCUGAUAAGCCGGUUGUGAAAGCCCCGGGCUCAACCUGGGAACGGCAUCCGGAACUGUCAGGCUAGAGUGCAGGAGAGGAAGGUAGAAUUCCCGGUGUAGCGGUGAAAUGCGUAGAGAUCGGGAGGAAUACCAGUGGCGAAGGCGGCCUUCUGGACUGACACUGACGCUGAGGUGCGAAAGCGUGGGUAGCAAACAGGAUUAGAUACCCUGGUAGUC